This 253-nucleotide ribosomal RNA is filed under the name uncultured bacterium. RNAcentral's name for it is "partial 16S ribosomal RNA". It matches the Rfam family "Bacterial small subunit ribosomal RNA", at positions 524 to 776 of the family's 1533-position model. The record is from RNAcentral.
UACGUAGGUGGCAAGCGUUGUCCGGAAUUAUUGGGCGUAAAGCGCGCGCAGGCGGUCCUUUAAGUCUGAUGUGAAAGCCCACGGCUCAACCGUGGAGGGUCAUUGGAAACUGGGGGACUUGAGUACAGAAGAGGAAAGCGGAAUUCCACGUGUAGCGGUGAAAUGCGUAGAGAUGUGGAGGAACACCAGUGGCGAAGGCGGCUUUCUGGGCAAUGACCGACGCUGAGGCGCGAAGGCGUGGGAAGCAAACAGG